GAACCUUCUUGUCCUUCUCGGAGCCGUCGGUGAGCAGCACGCCCUUGGCCUGCAUGUGCCGGUACAGCACGCGCUGCAGCGCCGACAUGUCGCACUUGAUGACGUACUCCACCUGCGGGGAUGGGGGGGGGGGAAUCGGAAAUGUGGGGCAGGGGGACGUGGGGCUGAGCCCGGCCCCACAUCCCGGCCCCACGUCCUCUCCUUCCGCCGCCCAGUGCUAAAACCCAGCUCCAAAUCCUCCCCUCCUGCAGCACGGCACCAGAUUCCGGCCCCAAACUCUCUCCAGCUCCAGCCCGGCCCCACAUCCCAGCCCCACAUCUCUUACUGCAGCCUGGCCCCACAUCCCAGCCCCACAUCUCCAUCUCCUGCAGCCUGGCCCCACAUCUCUUACUGCAGCCUGGCCCCAUUCCCUGGCCCCACAUCUCCUACUGCAGCCCGGCCCCAUUCCCUGGCCCCACAUCUCCUUCUCCUGCAGCUCGGCCCCACAUCCCAGCCCCACAUCUCCAUCUCCUGCAGCCUGGCCCCAUUCCCUGGCCCCACAUCUCCUUCUUCUGCAGCCUGGCCCCACAACCCAGCCCCACAUCUCCUUCUCCUGCAGCCCAGCCCCACAUCCCAGCCCCACAUCUCCAUCUCCUGCAGCCUGGCCCCACAUCUCCUUCUCCUGCAGCUCGGCCCCACAUCCCAGCCCCACAUCUCUUACUGCAGCCUGGUCCCAUUCCCUGGCCCCACAUCUCCAUCUCCUGCAGCCCAGCCCCACAUCUCCAUCUCCUGCAGCCUGGCCCCAUUCCCUGGCCCCAUCUCUUACUGCAGCCUGGCCCCAUUCCCUGGCCCCACAUCUCCUUCUCCUGCAGCCCAGCCCCACAUCCCAGCCCCACAUCUCCAUCUCCUGCAGCCUGGCCCCAUCCCCUGGCCCCAUCUCUUACUGCAGCCUGGCCCCAUUCCCUGGCCCCAUCUCUUACUGCAGCCUGGCCCCAUUCCCUGGCCCCACAUCUCCAUCUCCUGCAGCCUGGCCCCAUUCCCUGGCCCCACAUCUCCUACUGCAGCCUGGCCCCA
RNAcentral lists this long non-coding RNA (1053 nucleotides) under Numida meleagris (helmeted guineafowl). Its description in RNAcentral is "lncRNA (ENSNMEG00000006315.1)". The record is from RNAcentral. Lineage: Eukaryota; Metazoa; Chordata; Aves; Galliformes; Numididae.